CUCCUAUCGUCCAAUAGUUUUUUUGGAAAGGCUUCAUUUAAACAGAGAGUCGUUUUAUCCUGGGAACUCACUCCAUCGUGAAUACUCGGAAGCUAGACGUGUGGCAGGGAAAAUGAGUUAAGGGAAACCGUGAUUAGUAUGACAUCGCCAACCGGCAGCAUUCACAAAGAUCUUAAACUCCUUUCCCCUGCCACUCUUUUAGCUUCCGAAUCUUUUUCGAUGGGUGAGUUCCUUGGAGAAAAAAUCUUUCUCUACGGAUGAAGCGUUUACGAAGAAACAAUUGGGAUGGAG
This 291-nucleotide microRNA precursor is filed under the name Arabidopsis lyrata. RNAcentral's name for it is "miR3446 stem-loop (aly-MIR3446)". The record is from miRBase by way of RNAcentral. Lineage: Eukaryota; Viridiplantae; Streptophyta; Magnoliopsida; Brassicales; Brassicaceae.